GACUCGUAGGUGACCUGCGGAGGGAUCAUUACCGAGUUCAUGCCCUGACGGGUAGACCUCCCACCCUAUGUUAUAUUACCUUUGUUGCUUUGGCGGGCCGCCCGGCUUCGGCCAGGCUACCGGCUCCAGCUGGUAAGCGCUCGCCAGAGGACCCCCAACUCUGAAUAUCAGUGUCGUCCGAGUACUAUAAAAUAGUUAAAACUUUCAACAACGGAUCUCUUGGUUCUGGCAUCGAUGAAGAACGCAGCGAAAUGCGAUAAGUAAUGUGAAUUGCAGAAUUCAGUGAAUCAUCGAAUCUUUGAACGCACAUUGCGCCCCUUGGUAUUCCGAGGGGCAUGCCUGUUCGAGCGUCAUUACAACCCUCAAGCACUGCUUGGUAUUGGGCUCCGCUGGCUCCAGCGGGCCUUAAAAUCAGUGGCGGCGCCGUUUGGGCUCUGAGCGUAGUAAAUAUCCUCGCUAUAGAGACCAGGCGGUUCUUGUCAUCAACCCCCAACUUUCUAAGUUUGACCUCGGAUCAGGUAGGGAUACCCGCUGAACUUAAGCAUAUCAAA
RNAcentral lists this ribosomal RNA (551 nucleotides) under Helotiales sp. RNAcentral describes it as "eukaryotic LSU rRNA". The stretch from base 200 to 353 matches the Rfam family "5.8S ribosomal RNA". Lineage: Eukaryota; Fungi; Ascomycota; Leotiomycetes; Helotiales. The record is from RNAcentral.